GAUGAACGCUGGCGGCGUGCCUAAUACAUGCAAGUCGAGCGAACGGACGAGGAGCUUGCUUCUCUGACGUUAGCGGCGGACGGGUGAGUAACACGUGGAUAACCUACCUAUAAGACUGGGAUAACUUCGGGAAACCGGAGCUAAUACCGGAUAACAUGUUGAACCGCAUGGUUCAACAGUGAAAGACGGUUUUGCUGUCACUUAUAGAUGGAUCCGCGUCGCAUUAGCUAGUUGGUAAGGUAACGGCUUACCAAGGCAACGAUGCGUAGCCGACCUGAGAGGGGGAACGGCCACACUGGAACUGGGACACGGUCCAGACUCCUACGGGAGGCAGCAGUGGGGAAUCUUCCGCAAUGGGCGGAAGCCUGACCGAGCCACGCCGCGUGGGGGAAGAAGGUCUUCGGGUUGUAAAACUCUUUUAUUAGGGAAGAACAAAUGUGGAAGUAACCAUGCACGUCUUGACGGUACCUAAACAAAAAGCCCCGGCUAACUACGUG
Molecule: ribosomal RNA, 497 nt
Filed under: uncultured bacterium
Lineage: Bacteria
Description: partial 16S ribosomal RNA
Rfam family: Bacterial small subunit ribosomal RNA
Source: RNAcentral